RNAcentral lists this small RNA (1051 nucleotides) under Drosophila pseudoobscura pseudoobscura. RNAcentral describes it as "GA28832". Lineage: Eukaryota; Metazoa; Arthropoda; Insecta; Diptera; Drosophilidae. The record is from RNAcentral.
GUCGCUUUUGAUCAGAACCUGUCUCCUAUAUGCAUAUCUAUCAGAAUUAAAUAGGUGGUCAAAAACUGUCGACAAACUAAUGUAUGGGCCUGGUCGUAAAGUGCAGUCUAAAUUUCCAUUGUAGGGACCGUACAACUCUCGUCCUUGCCAGUACGUGUGCGUGAUCCAGGCAAUGUCAAGUACGCCCACCGCUUACUAUUGCUAAUAUUCACCCUUAACAUCCGCUAGCCCAGUCCGUAACAAUGCAAGAUAACUGCCACCAUUAACAGUCUACGAUUUCAGUCUGUAAGCAGAAUUAAAUUGAGUGCAUUCAACAACAACACAACAGAAAACGAAACGAAACGAAACCAAAAGUAAAUGCGAAAUACUACAAAAAUCUGUUACAAGUUCGAAUAAACCCGCAGCAAAGAUACUCCGAAAAUGAGGCGCACUCUUUGGCACAUGCUCACGGCCCAGCUCCUGCUCCUGGUACUCUGUUCGCUGCUCUCUCUCUGCUCCGGCGGCAAUAUGCAUCCUUUGAAAGUGGGCAAAAACUAUGCGUCGCUGCACAACCAGCCCAAGGACUUUCGCUCUUUAGUGAUGGAUAUUAGCAAGUUUGUUCUCACUAUUGUGAGCAGAACGCGUUGAGUCACGUUUUUUUUUGUUUAUUGUUAAUUUUUUUUGAGCACGUAUUCCUUAUUUAUAGAAAGGUAUGUCCCUGUGUGCAGCCGCUCCUAUGAUAAAAGAAUAAUCCAAUGAUUUUAAUAAUAAUCCAAACAAAUAGCAAAAGCUUUUUCCUCCAUCUAAUCUGUCCAAAGAUCUGACUAGUACCAUAUCUAUUACUAAGCUGGCGUCGAGAUUUGAAUUCCAAUCUGAGUCCUGCCCCCCAUUCAAUUCAGAGUUCCAAAAUUCUCCAUUAAAGACCGACAGAAAGGCCAGCGACCAGCAGAUCAGUGCAGAGACCGACAAUCAUUGCCAAAGCAACGCAAAGCCUGGCCUCGAACUGAAUUUACAAUAAAAAUUCUUAAUUCUUGGUACAAAAAUUUCUGUAUUUAGCUGAUGAAAAUAAUUU